UCGUCAGCCCGUGACGAGGGAGGAGCGAGUGGUUCGCCGCCCCAUCCCCGUUCCUCUGGUCGCCCCCCAUGGUGACUGCUGCCACUUCCAGGUCUUCCUCCUCCUCUCAACUUCUCCUACCCUAGUUCCCUGAGUGGCCACAUGUUCUUCCUCCUCGGCUCCUCCUCAUCUCCAUUCUCCACUUGUCCCCUACUCCCCUGACCCCCUGAGCAACUGCUCGAGUCCCCUCCCAAUCCAGUCCCCAAAUCCACUUUGUAUGCUUGCUCUUUUCUUCUAGAUCCUUUCUCAAAUCAAGCAGUAGCAAGUGAGUAUCAAGUGGAUCUGCAGGCUAUACCUGCAAAUUCGCGCGAGAGGGGGUGGUUGGGGGGGACGGGGUGCUGGCGAUUCAGUUUUUGCAAGUUGCAAGCUGGGAGCGAUGACUCCAUUUAUGUUAUGUGGCUUUAAGUUUCAGCAAUUCUAUCUUGACAUGUAAAUUGCAGACCACCUUUAUUUCUUUAUUUUAGAUGGUCAGGGUAAGUAGAUUACUUCAAGUAAAAGAACAAAUGUGGAAUUACUAUUUUUCAGUUGAUAAAAAUUUGUUUACAAAUUCCAAUUUAGGUAGCAAUGGGCAGAAACAGAGGAACAGCUAUGCAUUCAUUUUUGCUGAAUCUUUAGUGAAUCAUUCACUCCAUGAACUUGCACUUUCUUGCUUUUACUUGCUAUUUUUUUUCAUAAAUCUGAACCUGUUGGCCCCCCUCAUUUUUGGUUCGCGCUCCGCCACUGUACAUAGCUGAAUUCAUUAAUGUGAACAAAGUUCAGUUAGUUUCUAGUGUACCAGAUCAGAACAGAGGCAUGCUCCUGGCAUGUGGAGAGUCUGAUCAACUCGCAUGCCGUCUCGAGGUUGGCAACGAUGCCUGAUAUGGCGGGCCGGUCCUUCCCGACAAACUUCACACAACAUCGUGCAAUCUGCGCCACACGCUUCAGUGUGUGCAGGUGCCAUGGCGUUGGCUCCGGUACAGGUCACCUAUCUAGCAUCUCCUCAAUAUUAUCGGCCUCAAUGAUGGGGAGUGCAAAGGAUGCCAGAUCUCUAUUCAUCUCCUCCUUUGCUUGGGAAAACGCCUUUUUCCCUGUCAGAACCUCAAGCUUAACCACGCUGAGGCUGUACACGUCGCUCGCCGGCUUCAGAUGACCUGUGUGAAGGUACUCAAGGUCGAUGUACCCAAGUGUGCCUCUAGCUGUGACAUCCAACCACGACACCAGAUGUGCCGAAGACGAAGGGAGGGGCCGUAGCCGGGGAGGUGCCGGCGGCUGGCGCCGAGGAGGUGCCCGGCGACGUGACCGAGCUCGUGGCGGCGGAGGAGGAGGAGGAGGUGUUGUCCGCGGCCAUGAAGAGGGUCCUGGCGACUAAUACCAAGUUGGAAAGUGUUUGUGCAAAUUUCCUUGAUUGAUUCUGUUACACAUGAGAGUAUACAUAGAGAGGGAGAGAGAGUCCCAAGAGUUGAGGCACGCAGGCCAUGCGGGAGACCUCAGAUCCUACACUCUAGGAUCGAUACAACGUGAUAGUACAACAUUACAAUUGAUACAAAAAUAUACAACUUAACAUUCUCUACAUGCCGCUGCCAUUUGAGUGGACGAGACUUGCCUGCUCCUCCGUCAUAUGCCCAUCCGUCGAGGAGGGUGUGGCCUGUGGUGCUUUCAUGGCGGCGAGAGCGAGGGGACGGAGGAAUUGCACUCUGCUCUGCUGUACGCAGAGCAUAAUGGCACAAUCUCUACACAGAAUACGCCGAUCUUUUGGCAAGUCUGACACUUCAGAAAUCUGUGUGCAGCUCGCUCGAUCUUUUGGCAAGUCUGACAGAGGAGGUGGAUACCGAGACUUUGGAGCACAAACAGAGUCCAUUAUGUGCACGGCCGGCAGCGUGGAGAAAUGUCAGAGAAGAAAUGUCAGUGAGCAUGCUGAGAUAAUCUGGACACAACAUGCGUCGAUUAGCAAAUCUGACUUAAUGUGCUCAAAGCUCUACUCAUCUUAUCAAGUCUGACAAAAUGGCUAGGCAGUUUCAUUCUUGUUAAUGGAGUUAGCACAGAUGGUUCAUUGUUAUUAAUGGCAGAUGGACACAUAAUUCUAUUCA
This is a long non-coding RNA of Triticum dicoccoides, 2105 nucleotides long. RefSeq lists it as uncharacterized. The record is from RefSeq and is a predicted model, not a curated record. Lineage: Eukaryota; Viridiplantae; Streptophyta; Magnoliopsida; Poales; Poaceae. The transcript has 2 exons.